RNAcentral lists this ribosomal RNA (182 nucleotides) under uncultured bacterium. Its description in RNAcentral is "partial 16S ribosomal RNA". The record is from RNAcentral.
CAGUNUUAGCCGGUGCUUNUCUAGUCGGUACCGUCAAGAACUUCACGUGAUUAAGUAAAGUUUUUUCUUCCCAACUUAAAGUGCUUUACAACCCGAAGGCCUUCUUCACACACAGCAGGUAUUAGCUGGAUCAUGGCUUUCGCCCAUUGUCCAAUAUUCCCCACUGCUGCCUCCCAGUAGGA